RNAcentral lists this long non-coding RNA (2208 nucleotides) under Aquilegia coerulea. RNAcentral's name for it is "long non-coding RNA (ACOE_LNC000343)". The record is from RNAcentral. Lineage: Eukaryota; Viridiplantae; Streptophyta; Magnoliopsida; Ranunculales; Ranunculaceae.
CUUUUGAUCUAAAGCGGUUUCGAAAUACAAGUUAUUCGAUCUUUCUAACAAGAGAAAACCCAUUUGUUUGAUCUGCUUCUUCACUAACAUUGCUAACUUGACAACAGUUUCUACUGUAAGUCUUUCUUUUUUACUCCCUUUUAUCAAAUUUAGUUAAAAAUUUCAGUAUUAUUGUGAUUUAUGUGAUUUGGGUAGCUGUUAUUUUUCACUAUAAUUGUUUGUUUUUGCAAGUUUAGAGAUCUUAAUGCAAGUAUGGAUAGAUUGAGAAGAAACCCAAUUUGUGAUUUCAUCAAAUAUGUGUUGUGCAAAUUUUGCUACAAAGUUUAAUUGGUUGUAUUGAUUUGGUCUUAUUUUGAUGCAAAAAUAUAACCCCCAAAUUUGAAAAUGCUGCAAGUCGUGUCUAAAACAUAUUUGCAUUGAGAAUUGUUGUAAUGUGGGAAAGUCCGAAGUUGUGUAGUUUGUUUUUGAUAGAAUCCUAUACCAAAAUUGAUAAAGAACCCUAAGAUUAAUCUUUUGAUUGGAGAUCAAACCACCUUCUUGAUCUUUUGAUUAGAGACCGAACUACCUAAACCUUAAUAUUAUAUUACUUUGCUUAAUAAUUCAAUUACAAUAAUAAUCCUUAUAUAGGAGAAAGCAAGAAACCUACUUAACCUAGACUCCCUAAUUAAAUAAAUAACAACUUAGAAAUAAAUAAUAAUCCUAGCCUAAGUCAAAUAGAAUUAUAGUACUAGUUUCCUAACAUUCCACCGCGCUUGAAAUUCGGCUUGUCCUCAAGUCGAACUAGAACUCAUGUAACCUCUGAACGAACCGAAGAAGAAGCAACCAAAGUAGAUGGUUCAGCCUCCAAAAUCAAAACUUGAGAAUAUGUGCACUUGUGCCCUGGCUUGAAAACUUCAUCACAAUUGAAACAUAAACCUUUGCGGCGACGCUCUUGUUGUUCAUCCCAGGAUAAAUGACGAACUUUUGGUGUAGAUGAUGCUUGUUUUUGAGGGCUAUUGGAAGAUUUGAUAAUUGAAGAACUCACAAAAUUUUGUUUUGAGAAUUCUUGGAUAGCACUAAAUUCCUCCUCUUUAGCAAGAGCCAUAUCAAAAGCCUCUGUUAACAUAGUAGGUCGAAGAGUACACAAACCAGCUUUAAUAUCAUCAUGCAACCCAGAUAUAAACAUACUAAUCAGAUGUGCUUCUGGAAGACCAGGAACCAGAUUGGCAAGUCGCUCAAAAUCUCGUUGAAAAUCACGAACAUAACCUGUUUGUUGAAGUUUGGAAAGAGAGCCACAAGGAUCGCGAUGUUCACGCGAUCCAAAACGAAUACAAAGAGUACGAGAAAAAUUUUGCUAAUUUAAUACACCAACAGAAUGACGAAUCCAACGGUACCAAGCAAUAGCAUCACCUGUUAAGUGAAUAGAUGCAACAAAAACCAAUUGUUCAUCAAAAAUACCAUGCAAUACUUGAUAUUGUUCUGCACGAAAAAGCCAAUCUUCUGGAUCAACACCUUCAAAUUUUGGAAAAUCAAUACGAAGUGUCCUUCCUUGAAACUGUAAUCCAGGAUGUGUUACUCGGCCUUGUUGAACCAAAUUGGGUUGUUGAACAACUGGAGGCAAUAAAGCAGGACCUAGAGGUUGUUCUGGAAGUGGAGGUUCACGCAGAGCCAUAUUGUUAUUUGGAACAACACCGUUUUUGUUUGGAAGAUUCGACAAAAUAAGAUUUUUCAAUUCAGCGAUGCCUUCGUCGAGUGAUAUUUUUAAUUCAGCAACUCGAUUAUUAGUUUCCUUCAAACUCGCUUCAAUUGCAUCAACCCGAUCACUAACUUCUUUAACGGUAACCAUAAUGGAUUGUGGGUAAAAAGAACAAAUACUAAUCUAAAGGAAACUACUACCAACGGUGAUGAUGAUGGUUUGAAGAUCGAACAACUUGGAUGAGAAAAAAAUUUGCCCUCGGAUCGAAACUGCUCUGAUACCAGAUGAUAGAAUCCUAUACCAAAAUUGAUAAAGAACCCUAGGAUUGAUCUUUUGAUUGGAGAUCAAACCACCUACCUAAACCUUAAUAUUAUAUUACUUUGCUUAAUAAUUCAAUUACAAUAAUAAUCCUUAUAUAGGAGAAAGCAAGAAACCUACUUAACCUAGACUCCCUAAUUAAAUAAAUAACAACUUAGAAAUAAAUAAUAAUCCUAGCCUAAGUCAAAUAGAAUUAUAGUACUAGUUUCCUAACA